This 253-nucleotide ribosomal RNA is filed under the name uncultured bacterium. RNAcentral's name for it is "partial 16S ribosomal RNA". It matches the Rfam family "Bacterial small subunit ribosomal RNA", at positions 524 to 776 of the family's 1533-position model. The record is from RNAcentral.
UACGGAGGGUGCAAGCGUUAUCCGGAUUCACUGGGUUUAAAGGGAGCGUAGGUGGCUUUGUAAGUCAGUGGUGAAAUACCGCAGCUCAACUGCGGAACUGCCAUUGAUACUGCUUAGCUUGAAUCACGUCGAGGUGGAUGGAAUAAUACAUGUAGCGGUGAAAUGCUUAGAUAUGUAUUAGAACACCGAUUGCGAAGGCAGUUCACUAGGCGUGUAUUGACACUGAGGCUCGAAAGCGUGGGGAUCAAACAGG